GUUAAGGAAUGCAUUCAAAGUUCAGGCAGUUUACAAGUGUGUUCUAGUUUUUACUUUUUUUCUAGGCCACCUCAUGUCACCUCCAUAGAGUACAAACUUUUCUCAGAGCUUAAAGCAAAAAAGACUGUGUCUUCCCUCGAUUAAAUCAAACCUUAAAUCAGCACGACAACCUAUAAGUUGGUACCAGUAGAUAACCAAGAUUGGGGACCAAUCAGAGGUCAACAAAAGGACACCAUGAGCCUGGUGAAGAAGACUCACAGGAAGAACUAAAUCAUAAAGGAGGAAGGAAUGGCUGUCAGGGAGAUGGAGAGGAACCCCUGGCAAGCAAUGGCUAAUUCUUAACUAAUUUCAAACACAUUCAGCUG
Molecule: long non-coding RNA, 365 nt
Filed under: Pan troglodytes (chimpanzee)
Lineage: Eukaryota; Metazoa; Chordata; Mammalia; Primates; Hominidae
Description: long non-coding RNA NONPTRT001113
Source: RNAcentral